GCCGGCUGAAAUAUUGAGAUCAUGAGAGCUUCAAUGAACAACAAAAACACUAAGACAUGCCUCCAAUUUUCAGUGUUUGGUUGGUUCAGUAAGGAAGUAGCUGAAUAUCAAUAAGAACAUGUUUUAUCUUAAUAAAUCAUUAAAGAUAAAUGUGAAAAGGGGGAAAAAAACUGGAUGAAACAAAUUGCUGCUUUUUUUUUUUUUUAAUGGGGAGAAAUUAGCUCACCUGGAUGAUGAGAUUACAGAUGCCGGUCUUUCUUGAAAGAGGGCAUGAACAGGAUCACAUAAUUUGAACAGAUUUAAUCUACCGGGGGUGUGAUUUGUAAAUUUAGAACCUUCUCCAUUUCAAUGAGCAACAAGAGUUUAAAAGAAGGGAUUAGAAAUCAAAUAGAGGUAAAAUGGCAGUGUUGUGCCAGAUUUCCGACGAUCCUCGCUGGAGCCAAUUUCAAAUGGGACUUGUUUUGCAGGAAUGCAGCUCCGAUGAUCUCCAAUCUGCUCCAGCUAUAUUCGUACGCGGCAACAGAAGAUUCUCGACCGCGUACGGAUAUAGCUAGAGCAAAUCGGAGACCACCAGAACGAUGUUCCUGCAAAAUAAGUUCCGAUCGAAAUUGACUUUGACGAAGAUCUUUCAAUGAUCAGGAAUCUAACACGACAGGCAGAUUAAGGAACAAACCGAAUGUGGAUAGCAUGAUCCAGUGAAGCGAACUUGCGGUCAACAAGGCAGAGAAAGGUAAUUGAUAUAAUUAAAAAAACUAUCUGACCCCCUUCUUCAAGGGAAUCAUCAAAACAUUUAUGAACAUGGUAUCUGCUUAUACCAUUCCUACCCGUUUGGUAAGAAAUAUUUUCCUUCCUGAAGUCCUUCCCAGGCCUUGAGCUUAUAAGAAUAAUGGGAAGAAAGUAAUGGAACUUCUAUGCCAUGCUUUGAAAAAAAAAAAAAGGCACAACAAACAAGUACUAAAUAGUCAAAGAGCAGCAGAACAGUGCUUACAUACAUAUGUAUGCAUACGCUUAGACAUAAACACAUACAUGAAUUCAUUUACUUUUAUCAGACUACUAUAUAGGAUUAUAAAUCACUUCAACAACAUCAAUUCAUUUGGAAACAUGUUCAUCAUCAUCUAGCAUGUGACAGGAAUAAACUAAGCACAUGUUUGAAUAGGUUAAUUAGAGCAAGCAUGCCCACCACUUCGCAUGUCAAAUUACAUUUAUCAGUAAGCAGAUUUUUGUUUAAUGAACUGCACAAUAACAGCCAAUGAUAUUUUGAAAGAGGGAAAAAAUAAAAAGAAAAAGGAACGACCAAUAUACACUGCAAGAAGUCAUAUGCACCACUUUUAACAUACCAAAUCACCAUUCAAGUGCCUUAAAAUGGAUAAGAAGAUAGAUACAAUUAAAAGAACAAGUCACUAAGCACAUGGGAAAAGAACAAGUCUUGACGGAGUAAAUGGCUGAAAAAGAGGGGAUGAGGAACUGCUCACCUUGACAAAGAGAGUCUUGAUGCCCAAAAGCAUUUCAUGGGAGAGGGCGAUUGAUCGCCCCGAGAGUCUUCUCGGCGUGGAAGACAAGGAGGGUUGAUCAAAGGGAUCAGAUAUCUUUUAACGGAGAAAAAAAGGUCAGGGAUAGGGAUCGAGAGUGGGUGGAUACCGUCGUGGAAAAGAAAAACGAGAGCAGACUCGGGCGCUCAAGAUCCCACAUUGGGCGCUGCGAACAGCGGAGCGAACGACGGCCGUCGCCAUAGCGCUUGGCUACUCCGUUGGCCGACUCAAGAACUCGAGGUGGGGGGG
RNAcentral lists this long non-coding RNA (1778 nucleotides) under Elaeis guineensis (African oil palm). RNAcentral describes it as "long non-coding RNA (EGUI_LNC019270)". The record is from RNAcentral. Lineage: Eukaryota; Viridiplantae; Streptophyta; Magnoliopsida; Arecales; Arecaceae.